Lonchura striata (white-rumped munia) is the source of this 515-nucleotide non-coding RNA. The record is from RefSeq and is a predicted model, not a curated record. Lineage: Eukaryota; Metazoa; Chordata; Aves; Passeriformes; Estrildidae.
CAGCUCCCUGGGUCCUGCAGACCUGAUGGAGCUUGUUCAUCCCAGUUGGGAAACAGCUCUGCUCAUCCCCAUCCUUCCCAACUCUCAUGUGGGUCUUCUGGCUUGCAUUCUUAUCCAUGGAGAGCUGGUUAGGAAAGCUGGUGGAGAAAACCAUAGCUGGAUGGUAGAGAAGGACUGAGAUUCUUCAUCAAGAGACAGCAAGUUGCGAAUCACAGCCAUGGACACGCAGACUUGAUGGGCAGGGGACAGAGCUGCUGGUGAGUCUGCUGUCACAAGCUGGAGCCACACUUGGUUUUUGUGAGGAAGGAGGCACUGCAGACAACACCUGGCCCACCUGCAGCAAGAUAGAUCGUGGUGAGUGAGGCAUCAGAAGCACUUUCCUUCCUGCACAAAAGGCACCCUGUGAUGUGUGAAAUACAGACAGUCCCCUUUCAAUUGCUAUUUCUGCCAGCUUUUAUUUCUCUCAUUUGACUUACUGAUGUAAAAUCUUGCAAGCAUUAAAUCUGUUGAAUGGG